UACGGGGGGAGCAAGCGUUGUUCGGAUUUACUGGGCGUAAAGGGCGCGUAGGCGGUCAGCACAAGUCAGUUGUGAAAUCUCCGGGCCUAACUCGGAAAGGUCAACUGAUACUGUGCGACUAGAGUGCAGAAGGGGCAACUGGAAUUCUCGGUGUAGCGGUGAAAUGCGUAGAUAUCGAGAGGAACACCUGCGGCGAAGGCGGGUUGCUGGGCUGACACUGACGCUGAUGCGCGAAAGCCAGGGGAGCAAACGGG
Molecule: ribosomal RNA, 254 nt
Filed under: uncultured bacterium
Lineage: Bacteria
Description: partial 16S ribosomal RNA
Rfam family: Bacterial small subunit ribosomal RNA
Source: RNAcentral